RNAcentral lists this ribosomal RNA (623 nucleotides) under uncultured bacterium. RNAcentral describes it as "bacterial SSU rRNA". It matches the Rfam family "Bacterial small subunit ribosomal RNA", at positions 309 to 916 of the family's 1533-position model. The record is from RNAcentral.
CAUAUGGCGAUUGAUUUAGCGGCCGCGAUUCGCCCUUCCUACGGGAGGCAGCAGUGGGGAAUAUUGGACAAUGGGGGCAACCCUGAUCCAGCCAUGCCGCGUGUGUGAAGAAGGCCCUCGGGUUGUAAAGCACUUUCAGCGAGGAAGAACGCCUAGCGGUUAAUACCCGCUAGGAAAGACAUCACUCGCAGAAGAAGCACCGGCUAACUCCGUGCCAGCAGCCGCGGUAAUACGGAGGGUGCAAGCGUUAAUCGGAAUUACUGGGCGUAAAGCGCGCGUAGGUGGCUUGAUAAGCCGGUUGUGAAAGCCCCGGGCUCAACCUGGGAACGGCAUCCGGAACUGUCAAGCUAGAGUGCAGGAGAGGAAGGUAGAAUCCCCGGUGUAGCGGUGAAAUGCGUAGAGAUCGGGAGGAAUACCAGUGGCGAAGGCGGCCUUCUGGACUGACACUGACACUGAGGUGCGAAAGCGUGGGUAGCAAACAGGAUUAGAUACCCUGGUAGUCCACGCCGUAAACGAUGUCGACCAGCCGUUGGGUGCCUAGCGCACUUUGUGGCGAAGUUAACGCGAUAAGUCGACCGCCUGGGGAGUACGGCCGCAAGGUUAAAACUCAAAUGAAUUGACGG